GCAUAUCAAUAAGCGCAGGAAAAGAAACCAACAGGGAUUGCCUCAGUAACGGCGAGUGAAGCGGCAACAGCUCAAAUUUAAAAUCUGGCCUCUUGGGGUCCGAGUUGUAAUUUGUAGAGGAUGUUUUGGGUACCGCCCCGGUUUAAAUUUCUUGGAACAGAAUGUCAAAGAGGGUGAGAAUCCCGUCUUGGACCGGCGGUAGGGCCUGUGUAAAACUCCUUCGACGAGUCGAGUUGUUUGGGAAUGCAGCUCAAAAUGGGUGGUAAAUUUCAUCUAAAGCUAAAUAUUGGCCAGAGACCGAUAGCGCACAAGUAGAGUGAUCGAAAGAUGAAAAGCACUUUGAAAAGAGAGUUAAACAGUAUGUGAAAUUGUUGAAAGGGAAGCGCUUGCAACCAGACUUGAGCGCGGCGGUUCCCCCAGCCUUUUGGCUGGGUUACUCCGUCGUGUCCAGGCCAACAUCGGUUCUGGGGGUCGGUCAAAGGCCUUGGGAAUGUAUCUACCUACGGGUAGACUUAUAGACCAGGGUGUCAUGCGGCCUCCCGGGACCGAGGAACGCGCUUCGGCUCGGAUGUUGGCGUAAUGGUUGUCAGCGACCCGUCUUGAAACACGGACCAAGGAGUCUAACAUCUAUGCGAGUGUUUGGGUGUCAAACCCGGAACGCGGAAUGAAAGUGAACGGAGGUAGGAAGCUUCGGCUGCACUAUCGACCGAUCCUGAAGUUUACGGAUGGAUUUGAGUAAGAGCAUAGCUGUUGGGACCCGAAAGAUGGUGAACUAUGCCUGAAUAGGGUGAAGCCAGAGGAAACUCUGGUGGAGGCUCGCAGCGGUUCUGACGUGCAAAUCGAUCGUCAAAUUUGGGUAUAGGGGCGAAAGACUAAUCGAACCAUCUGGUAGCUGGUUCCUGCC
Molecule: ribosomal RNA, 904 nt
Filed under: Cladophialophora sp.
Lineage: Eukaryota; Fungi; Ascomycota; Eurotiomycetes; Chaetothyriales; Herpotrichiellaceae
Description: partial large subunit ribosomal RNA
Rfam family: Eukaryotic large subunit ribosomal RNA
Source: RNAcentral